ACUAUGGAGAGUUUGAUCCUGGCUCAGGAUGAACGCUGGCGGUAUGCUUAACACAUGCAAGUCGAACGGUCUCUUCGGAGAUAGUGGCGGACGGGUGAGUAACGCGUGAGAACAUGCCUUUAGAUUGGGGACAACAGUUGGAAACGACUGCUAAUACCGAAUGUGCCUUAGGGUGAAAGAUUUAUUGUCUAGAGAUUGGCUCGCGUCAGAUUAGCUAGUUGGAGUGGUAACGGCACACCAAGGCGACGAUCUGUACUUGGUCUGAGAGGAUGACCAGGCACACUGGAACUGAGACACGGUCCAGACUCCUACGGGAGGCAGCAGUGGGGAAUUUUCCGCAAUGGGCGAAAGCCUGACGGAGCAAUACCGCGUGAGGGAGGACGGCUUUUGGGUUGUAAACCUCUUUUAUCAGGGAAGAAUCGAUGACGGUACCUGAUGAAUCAGCAUCGGCUAACUCCGUGCCAGCAGCCGCGGUAAUACGGAGGAUGCAAGCGUUAUCCGGAAUUAUUGGGCGUAAAGCGUCCGUAGGUGGUUUAUCAAGUCUGCUGUCAAAGCGUGCGGCUUAACCGCAUAAGGGCAGUGGAAACUGAUGAACUAGAGUGCGAUAGGGGUAACAGGAAUUCCCAGUGUAGCGGUGAAAUGCGUAGAUAUUGGGAAGAACACCAGCGGCGAAAGCGUGUUACUGGGUCUGCACUGACACUGAGGGACGAAAGCUAGGGGAGCGAAAGGGAUUAGAUACCCCUGUAGUCCUAGCCGUAAACGAUGACAACUAGGCGUGGUUCGUAUCGACCCGAGCCGUGCCGUAGCCAACGCGUUAAGUUGUCCGCCUGGGGAGUACGCACGCAAGUGUGAAACUCAAAGGAAUUGACGGGGGCCCGCACAAGCGGUGGAGUAUGUGGUUUAAUUCGAUGCAACGCGAAGAACCUUACCAAGGCUUGACAUCCUCGGAACCCUGAUGAAAGUUAGGGGUGCCUUCGGGAGCCGAGAGACAGGUGGUGCAUGGCUGUCGUCAGCUCGUGUCGUGAGAUGUUGGGUUAAGUCCCGCAACGAGCGCAACCCACGUUUUUAGUUGCCAGCAUUCAGUUGGGCACUCUAGAGAGACUGCCGGUGACAAACCGGAGGAAGGUGUGGAUGACGUCAAGUCAGCAUGCCCCAUACGCCUUGGGCUACACACGUACUACAAUGCGUCGGACAAAGAGCAGCCAGCCAGCGAUGGUGAGCCAAUCUCAUAAACCGGCGCUCAGUUCAGAUUGCAGGCUGCAACUCGCCUGCAUGAAGGCGGAAUCGCUAGUAAUCGCAGGUCAGCAUACUGCGGUGAAUACGUUCCCGGGCCUUGUACACACCGCCCGUCACACCAUGGGAGUUGGUCACGCCCGAAGUCGUUACUCUAACUGCUUGCAGAGGAGGACGCCGAAGGUGGGGCUGAUGACUGGGGUGAAGUCGUAACAAGGUAGCCGUACCGGAAGGUGUGGCUGGAUCACCUCCUUA
RNAcentral lists this ribosomal RNA (1488 nucleotides) under Leptolyngbya boryana IU 594. Its description in RNAcentral is "bacterial SSU rRNA". It matches the Rfam family "Bacterial small subunit ribosomal RNA". Lineage: Bacteria; Bacillati; Cyanobacteriota; Cyanophyceae; Leptolyngbyales; Leptolyngbyaceae. The record is from RNAcentral. RNAcentral also lists the same sequence under 2 other names.